UGGGGAAUAUUGGACAAUGGGCGAAAGCCUGAUCCAGCCAUGCCGCGUGUGUGAAGAAGGUCUUCGGAUUGUAAAGCACUUUAAGUUGGGAGGAAGGGCAGUAAGCGAAUACCUUGCUGUUUUGACGUUACCGACAGAAUAAGCACCGGCUAACUCUGUGCCAGCAGCCGCGGUAAUACAGAGGGUGCAAGCGUUAAUCGGAAUUACUGGGCGUAAAGCGCGCGUAGGUGGUUCGUUAAGUUGAAUGUGAAAGCCCCGGGCUCAACCUGGGAACUGCAUCCAAAACUGGCGAGCUAGAGUAGGGCAGAGGGUGGUGGAAGUUCCUGUGUAGCGGUGAAAUGCGUAGAUAUAGGAAGGAACACCAGUGGCGAAGGCAGCCAUCUGGCCUAACACUGACGCUGAGGUACGAAAGCAUGGGGAGCAAACAGG
RNAcentral lists this ribosomal RNA (429 nucleotides) under Pseudomonadota bacterium. RNAcentral's name for it is "Proteobacteria bacterium partial 16S ribosomal RNA". It matches the Rfam family "Bacterial small subunit ribosomal RNA", at positions 355 to 776 of the family's 1533-position model. The record is from RNAcentral. Lineage: Bacteria; Pseudomonadati; Pseudomonadota.